CCUACGGGAGGCAGCAGUGAGGAAUAUUGGUCAAUGGGCGCGAGCCUGAACCAGCCAAGUAGCGUGAAGGAAGAAUGCCCCACGCGUCGUAAACUUCUUUUAUCGAGGAAUAAAGGGCGCCACGCGUGCCUUUUUGAAUGUACUCUAUGAAUAAGCAUCGGCUAACUCCGUGCCAGCAGCCGCGGUAAUACGGAGGAUGCGAGCGUUAUCCGGAUUUAUUGGGUUUAAAGGGUGCGUAGGGGGGUUGUGAAGUCAGUUGUGAAAGGUCGGGGCUCAACCGUAGAAUGGCCAUUGAUACUGGCAGCCUAGAGAAGGGGUGAGGUAGGCGGAAUGCGUGGUGUAGCGGUGAAAUGCUUAGAUAUCGCGAAGAACUCCGAUUGCGAAGGCAGCGUACUGGACUGCCACUGACGUUGAUGCACGAAAGUGUGGGUAUCAAACAGGAUUAGAUACCCUAGUAGUC
RNAcentral lists this ribosomal RNA (460 nucleotides) under uncultured bacterium. RNAcentral describes it as "partial 16S ribosomal RNA". It matches the Rfam family "Bacterial small subunit ribosomal RNA", at positions 338 to 795 of the family's 1533-position model. The record is from RNAcentral.